UACAGAGGUCUCAAGCGUUGUUCGGAUUCAUUGGGCGUAAAGGGUGCGUAGGCGGUGAAAUAAGUUGGAUGUGAAAUCCCGGAGCUUAACUCCGGAACUGCAUUCAAUACUGUUUUGCUAGAGUACUGGAGAGGAGAUUGGAAUUCACGGUGUAGCAGUGAAAUGCGUAGAUAUCGUGAGGAAGACCAGUGGCGAAGGCGAAGCUCUGGACAGUUACUGACGCUGAGGCACGAAGGCCAGGGGAGCAAACGGG
RNAcentral lists this ribosomal RNA (253 nucleotides) under uncultured bacterium. RNAcentral describes it as "partial 16S ribosomal RNA". It matches the Rfam family "Bacterial small subunit ribosomal RNA", at positions 524 to 776 of the family's 1533-position model. The record is from RNAcentral.